This 121-nucleotide non-coding RNA is filed under the name unclassified sequences. RNAcentral's name for it is "DUF3800-I RNA". It matches the Rfam family "DUF3800-I RNA". Rfam says of the family: Actinobacteria, Firmicutes, Fusobacteria, Proteobacteria (1 example), Tenericutes (2 examples). Terminator (Clostridia) The record is from Rfam by way of RNAcentral.
UCAAGGUACAGACGUAGGUACUGUUGUACAGUCAUAAGCGAUCGAAUUGAUUAAGCGUAUUGUAAAUACGUCGCCUGGCUAGGGUAAACCUUCUAAUUAUAGAAGGUUUACUUUUUUUAUG